GACUCUUAGCGGUGGAUCACUCAGCUUCUGCGUCUAUGAAGAACGCAGCUAGCUGCGAGAAUUGAUGUGCAUUGCAGGACUCAUUGAUCAUCAACACUCCCAGCGCACUUGCAGCCCCGGGUUUCUCCUGGGGCUACGCCUGUCUGAGCGUGG
Molecule: ribosomal RNA, 153 nt
Organism: Equus asinus (donkey)
Lineage: Eukaryota; Metazoa; Chordata; Mammalia; Perissodactyla; Equidae
Rfam family: 5.8S ribosomal RNA
About the family: 5.8S ribosomal RNA (5.8S rRNA) is a component of the large subunit of the eukaryotic ribosome. It is transcribed by RNA polymerase I as part of the 45S precursor that also contains 18S and 28S rRNA.
Source: Ensembl